Long non-coding RNA from Raphanus sativus (radish), 1488 nucleotides. RefSeq lists it as uncharacterized. The record is from RefSeq and is a predicted model, not a curated record. The transcript is spliced from 2 exons. NCBI's taxonomy places the organism in Eukaryota, Viridiplantae, Streptophyta, Magnoliopsida, Brassicales, Brassicaceae.
CUUGCUGACACAUCAGCAUCCAGCACAACAAUUCACAGUCUGAGCGUCUACCACGUGUCCCGUCUCCUUAAUACGCUGCGGUUCAUUAACUUGAAAAUUUCAGUUGUUUGGGCAUAUUUCGUAACAAGUCUAUUCUGAAGUGUUUUGGGCUGAAAAAUCAGAUGGCCCAAUAGAAUGACUCUUGAUGCAGAGAAAUAAAGCUUUAGUGUUCGUUUCUGGUCUUCGACGGCGCCUCUUGAUCUUUAUCUUCAUUCCAAUCUCCGAAACGGUCCGAGUUAAAACUUUUUCGUGUUUAAUCCUAUUAAUUCAAUCAACCACGAUGAGGUAUUGAAUGCGUGGUUAACAUCCGUGAGUCGGUGUAUUUGCAAGUAUAAAUAGGACUCUGAUUCUGAGUUUCUCAAAGAGAAAGAUGUUAAGGGAGGAUCUUGCUGCGCCACGGCACUCAUCAAAGACGGGAAUCUCGGUGUCCAAUUCCGGCGAUUGCCGUGCUGUUUUGAGCGUUGGAGGACUCGCGGAGGCACUGACUUCUGACCACCGCCCUUCUAGAGAGGAUGAGCGGUACAGAAUUGAAAGCUCGGUAAUAAUUCCUCUCUAUAAACACCUGAUGUUCCUACAAUCGAUCCCAAGGAAGGUAACUACUGGUACUCUUUAACAGUUCCUACAAACGAUUUUUUUUUUCAUUUUGCUGUAGUGGUUGAUGGUAAGCAAAUUUGAAGGCCAACCAUUGUAGCUCCACCGUUGAAGAACUCUUUCUUCCUUCUCUCUUUCAUGGUUCUGUUUAUUGAAACUAUAUCAUCUUCAUUACUGAGCUGGGAAGCUGUGUGUUCUUCUGUCGACGCGUCAAUAGUUUAGAAUUUCUAAGAUCUUUUAAAGGAAUCCUUUUGAAUAAAGCCUAAACCUUUGCUUAUAUUGUUGAACAUGAUGAAUGGUUCCUAAAGGUAUUUUCUGUUGCUAUUAUUGUUGUUAUCUCUCAAGUCUUUCUGUAUAAAAAUGGACUUCACAUAGGGAAAAUAAUGUUGUUAUAAGAUGAGAACAUGAUAGUGUAAAUUUGGUUUCACCAGUUGACUUCACCAUUCUGUUCUUCCUGUACAAGCUCUAUGCUAUCAACUGGUCCCACUAUUUUCAUUUGGUUUCAGUCUCAAUUCGUUCAUUCAUUGCAAGAAUUCGGAGUAGUAUAUGUUCAAAGCACCUACAGUUACAGCCAAAAUGGUUCUUCCUCUCUGUAUGGUUUCAUACUCAACCGGCACUGGCCUCUCAAUUUGUCAUAACAGCUCUGUGGUAAAAAUGCAUCCAUUUUCCGCAAUGUGUGAUUGGCAAGUUUGGCAUACCCGCAAUUUUGAUCACUCCAUGAGCUCUUCUUCUUCUUUACUAAGCUAGAACUAAAAAUUAGUAUGAUGUGUGAAGAAACUAAAAUUUUUGUGUAUAACAUCUUCCAUAUGCUAAAUUAUCUUAUUUGCUAAAACUGAGAAAUGACAGGAUUAACUAAAA